UUGCCUUUCCAUCCUGAUUUCUUAGGCUGUAAUCCUCUUGCUUUCUGCUUUGUGGGAAGCUGUAGGCUGCCCACUAGCUUUUGUCUGCUUUUAAAGCCCUUUCUCUAGCAAAGGCACAAAUCACCAACACUCUUGGACGUCUCUAGAAGGAAAAAGAAAAAAAAAAAAAAAAAACACAAUAACACAAAAAUGUUCAAUCUUUUUCUGGUGGUCCCCAUUUUCUUUUUUUCUAUGUGUAAUCUCUUUUCUUACUUAACCUUUUCAUUUUGGGGGCCUCAGGGUCUUUUUUAAUAAGAUGUGAAAGAUUGAUUCAAUCUGAAGAGAAACCAGAGUGUCUUAAGUUCCCCCUUUUUUAAGGGCUCAGUUGAAGCAUAUGGAAGUUCCCAGGCUAGGGGUUGAAUCGGAGCUGUAGCCACCGGCCUACACCAGAGCCACAGUAACGCGGGAUCCGAGCCGCGUCUGCAACCUACACCACAGCUAACGGCAACGCCGGAUCGUUAACCCACUGAGCAAGGGAAGGGAUCGAACCCGCAACCUCAUGGUUCCUAGUCGGAUUCAUUAACCACUGCGCCACGACGGGAACUCCUUACUCUGCAUCUUAUCCUGAUUCCCAACAAUCCCAGAUUGAACUAGUCUGGCAGCAAACUCUGAUGGAGCAGCGUGUCCUCCAGCCCAGGUAUAAGGAUGACAACUUAGGGAAACUUUUCUGUGACUGAAAGUUUUUGUUUUUAAAGUAAUUGUAACAGAGUGUGGCCACAAUGAUCCUUGCCUCCUGGGAUUUAUGCCCCUGGGUAUUCCCCUCCCACCCUGAACAGGGAGGAAACGAAGGUGUUUACCUUCCAAGCCAGGCUGGCCAUACCAGUUAUCCCAGCCUCUGCUUUGCUCUUUGGAUCACUCACUCUGGAGUAAUGAGGACAGUGGCAUAACCCUCUGGAAAGACAAACAAGGCAAAGAACAAGGCUUCCUGCUCCAGGUGACCCUGCAUCAGUCAUGUGAAUGAACCACUUUGCAAACAGACCCUGCAGCCCAUCAAGCAUAUAGGUGACUACAUCCUCACGAGAGAGCUGGAACGCCCUUCAAAGCUGCUUCUGGGUUCUGUUGUGGCUCAGUGGGUUAAGAACACGACUAGUAUCUACGAGGAUGUGGGUUUGAUCCCUGGCCUCACUCAGGGGGUUAAGGCAUUGCCAUGAGCUGUGGUGUAGGUCACAGAUGAGGCUCGGAUCUGGCGUUGCUGUGGCUGCGGCUGUGGCUAUGGCUGGCAGCUGUAGCUCCGAUUCAACCCCUAGCCUGGAAACUUCCAUAUGCCACAGGUGCAGCCCUAAAAAGCAAAAAAAAAANAAAAAAAAAAAAAAA
Molecule: long non-coding RNA, 1353 nt
Filed under: Sus scrofa (pig)
Lineage: Eukaryota; Metazoa; Chordata; Mammalia; Artiodactyla; Suidae
Description: lncRNA (ENSSSCG00025019229.1)
Source: RNAcentral